RNAcentral lists this ribosomal RNA (536 nucleotides) under uncultured bacterium. RNAcentral's name for it is "bacterial SSU rRNA". It matches the Rfam family "Bacterial small subunit ribosomal RNA", at positions 777 to 1314 of the family's 1533-position model. The record is from RNAcentral.
AAUAGAUACCCGGGUAGUCCACGCCGUAAACGAUGAGUGCUAAGUGUUAGGGGGGUUUCCGCCCCUUAGUGCUGCAGCUAACGCAUUAAGCACUCCGCCUGGGGAGUACGGCCGCAAGGCUGAAACUCAAAGGAAUUGACGGGGGCCCGCACAAGCGGUGGAGCAUGUGGUUUAAUUCGAAGCAACGCGAAGAACCUUACCAGGUCUUGACAUCUCCUGACCGCCCUGGAGACAGGGUCUUCCCUUCGGGGACAGGAUGACAGGUGGUGCAUGGUUGUCGUCAGCUCGUGUCGUGAGAUGUUGGGUUAAGUCCCGCAACGAGCGCAACCCUUGUCCUUAGUUGCCAGCAUUCAGUUGGGCACUCUAAGGAGACUGCCGGCUAAAAGUCGGAGGAAGGUGGGGAUGACGUCAAAUCAUCAUGCCCCUUAUGACCUGGGCUACACACGUGCUACAAUGGGCGGUACAGAGGGUCGCGAACCCGCGAGGGGAGCCAAUCCCAAAAACCGCUCUCAGUUCGGAUUGCAGGCUGCAACUCG